CGGGUGCGUAACACGUGAGCGACCUUCCGUCUUCUGGGGGAUAGCCGGCCCAACGGCCGGGUAAUACCGCAUACGCUCUGGUGGGGGCAUCCCUGCCAGAGGAAACUUCCGGGGGAGGACGAGGGGCUCGCGGCCUAUCAGCUAGUUGGUGCGGUCACGGCGCACCAAGGCGACGACGGGUAGCUGGUCUGAGAGGAUGGCCAGCCACAUUGGGACUGAGAGACGGCCCAG
RNAcentral lists this ribosomal RNA (231 nucleotides) under uncultured bacterium. RNAcentral describes it as "partial 16S ribosomal RNA". It matches the Rfam family "Bacterial small subunit ribosomal RNA", at positions 103 to 334 of the family's 1533-position model. The record is from RNAcentral.